GUGCCAGCCGCCGCGGUAAUACAGAGGGUGCGAGCGUUUAUCGGAAUUACUGGGCGUAAAGGGUGCGUAGGUGGUUCGAUAAGUCAGUUGUGAAAUCCCUGGGCUUAACCUGGGAAUUGCAUUUGAUACUGUCGAACUAGAGUGUGGUAGAGGUAAGCGGAAUUCCCGGUGUAGCGGUGAAAUGCGUAGAUAUCGGGAGGAACAUCAGUGGCGAAGGCGGCUUACUGGACCAACACUGACACUGAGGCACGAAAGCGUGGGUAGCAAACAGGAUUAGAUACCCUCGUAGUCC
This 292-nucleotide ribosomal RNA is filed under the name uncultured bacterium. Its description in RNAcentral is "partial 16S ribosomal RNA". It matches the Rfam family "Bacterial small subunit ribosomal RNA", at positions 505 to 796 of the family's 1533-position model. The record is from RNAcentral.